UCCAUGUUGAUGGAAAAGUCCAUGGCUCUCUAAAAUUCCACUUCAGUGGUUCUCCGAUGAGCUUUAUUUCUGGACUUCAAAUGGAAAUUGGAAACACUGGCUGGCAUGACUGCCUAAAAACACAAGCAUGCCUGAGACCUCUGCUGAGGACCCACACCCACGACAGUGGCAAAGGAUGCGUCCCGCAUGGCUGCCUGCUGCCUGCCACAUCAUGGGCCAAUACUGACUGACCUCUCCAGGAAAAUGAGGGACCAGAACCGGCGAUAAGUGGUCAAGGGACUGAGCGGCAGUGCACGGCAGAUGGAGAGGAGAACGGGAUGUGGCAGAGCGCGAAGAUGAGAGAGAAAAGGGAUAAGAAGACUGGGACUUCAGAAGACAUUAAAGACUUAAGGCCACAGGACUAUUAAAUCAUGUGGGAUUUAAACUCCAGGCACUGACUCCAGAGCCUGGGUAAUUAACCUCUGGAUAGGAAAUUCAAGGUCUAACUGAGAUCACAGGCACACAGGGACAAACAAACAAAAAUGCUGGGACAAGGACACGAACAGAUGCACUGAAUAAUUCAGGCCCAGGCGACCUCAGAGUCUGAGUCCUCACGACAAAGGGAAGCCUCUUGGGUGAAGGAGCAGCAGUUCAUCCAGACAAAGCUGUGCGUGUUAUACCCCUGGACGGUCAGUUUGAACGGAAAACAGAGCUGACCUGCCCACCCAGAGCCUUCACAGAAACAAGGACUAUACUUUGCUCUGGUUGGAACCUUACUUAGGACUGUCACGACUUAAUGCCACCCCAUCCUCAGCAUCAAAGCUGUGCAGUUUGUGAGCUAUCAGUCGGACCUGUAGCUCCAUGGAUUCUGACUGUGGACUUUACCUACCCGACCAUAAUUCUUGUGGGGCCCUGCUGGGGGAUUUGUGUACUACAAGACAUGUAUUUUGAUUGCAAUUUACUUUCUGUUUUCCCCUCUUUAUAAUGGAGUAGAUAUUGCAGCUUUGGGUUAUGUGCAAGGGUGUGCAUGAAUAGGUCAGAGGUCAACUUUCAAAGUCUGCUAUCUUCUCCCACUAUGGGUCCUGGGGAUGGAACUCAGGUCCUCAGGAUGUGCGGUGAGUGCUUUUGCUGCCUGAGCAUCAUCUUGGUCCUGGACUACAGAGUUUUGCUUGAUCCGCCAUAUUCACCUGACCUCUUGCCAACUGAGUACUGCUUCUUCAAACAUCUUGAGAAUUUUUUUGCAGAGAAAAUGCUUCCAUAACCAGCAGGACAUAGAACAUUCUUGCCAAGACCUUGUUGAAUUCUAAAGCAUGAGUGUUAUACCACAGGAAGAAACAAACUGAUUUUUUCACUGGCAAAAACAGGUUGACCUGGGUGAAUCAGGUGACCUCUGAUUUUGAGGCCAGCCUGGGCUACAUUGUGAGUUCCUGGCCAAUUAGGGAUGCAUAGUUGAGACCCUGACUCCAAAAAUGGGGGAGUUGUUUAUAAUGACUCCAUUUAGUAAAGAUAUGUUUGAUUUUAUUUACAGUGAUACACGGUCUAAAAUCAUGAUUUCUUUUGCAUCAACAUAAGGGAAUGUCAUAGACCCUAGGAAGGCUAAGGAGGAAGAAAGGUUACUCUUCUGUGGUUACACAGAGGAGUUUGGGAGGCCCAUGGAAGUACACCACAGGGGCCAACUCAUGUCCUCCAUGACAUAUUUCAUUUUGGCAUGGCCUUGACUUGUCUCUGGUUCUUUUAGAUAACCUUGUUCUCCCUUGUUCUGGAAGGCCCUAAGGGACAGAACACGAUGCAUCCCCGGGCUGGAGUCUCUCCCAGGCCUGAGCACCAUGGCUGUGACGCUUUCUGGUUCUCUCCGCCAGGCUGAGUCUCCUGACUUCCUCCAACUGUCUCUCAUAUGACUUGGUUUCAGGUUCCUUUGCCAUCUGGGUGAUUUACUGCACAAGUUCCAGUUUGUCAAUGGUCUUUUAAAAGUAUGGUGCCAGAAUCAAAUGUGGUUUCCAGAGCAGAAAUGCAUAGCUGCAUUUCCCAGUGCUCUUAAAAGGAAAAGGUUCUUCCUUUUCAGAGAGCAGGAGGACAGGAAGGAGGAGGGGAAGAAGAGGGAGGGAAUAAGCUGUUUAAUCACUGCAUCUCAGUCCUGAAAGAUUUCCUUUUUGUUUAAGCAAAUUCCACU
Long non-coding RNA from Myodes glareolus (Bank vole), 2149 nucleotides. RefSeq lists it as uncharacterized. Lineage: Eukaryota; Metazoa; Chordata; Mammalia; Rodentia; Cricetidae. The record is from RefSeq and is a predicted model, not a curated record.